AGAGUUUGAUCAUGGCUCAGAUUGAACGCUGGCGGCAUGCUUUACACAUGCAAGUCGAACGCGAAAGGGGGCAACCCUGAGUAGAGUGGCGCACGGGUGAGUAAUGCAUCGGAACGUGUCCUGUAGCGGGGGAUAACUUAGCGAAAGCUAGGCUAAUACCGCAUACGUCCUACGGGAGAAAGUGAGGGACCGCAAGGCCUCACACUAUAGGAGCGGCCGAUGCCGGAUUAGCUAGUUGGUGGGGUAAAGGCUCACCAAGGCGACGAUCCGUAGCUGGUCUGAGAGGAUGAUCAGCCACACUGGGACUGAGACACGGCCCAGACUCCUACGGGAGGCAGCAGUGGGGAAUUUUGGACAAUGGGGGCAACCCUGAUCCAGCCAUGCCGCGUGAGUGAAGAAGGCCUUCGGGUUGUAAAGCUCUUUCGGCCGGGACGAAAUCGCAUGGGUUAAUAGCUCGUGUGGAUGACGGUACCGGAAGAAGAAGCACCGGCUAACUACGUGCCAGCAGCCGCGGUAAUACGUAGGGUGCGAGCGUUAAUCGGAAUUACUGGGCGUAAAGCGUGCGCAGGCGGUUUCGAAAGUCCGAUGUGAAAUCCCCGGGCUUAACCUGGGAACUGCGUUGGAAACUACGAGGCUAGAGUGCGGCAGAGGGGGGUGGAAUUCCAGGUGUAGCAGUGAAAUGCGUAGAUAUCUGGAGGAACACCGAUGGCGAAGGCAGCCCCCUGGGUUAGCACUGACGCUCAUACACGAAAGCGUGGGGAGCAAACAGGAUUAGAUACCCUAGUAGUCC
Molecule: ribosomal RNA, 790 nt
Filed under: uncultured bacterium
Lineage: Bacteria
Description: bacterial SSU rRNA
Rfam family: Bacterial small subunit ribosomal RNA
Source: RNAcentral